RNAcentral lists this ribosomal RNA (243 nucleotides) under uncultured bacterium. RNAcentral's name for it is "partial 16S ribosomal RNA". It matches the Rfam family "Bacterial small subunit ribosomal RNA", at positions 15 to 253 of the family's 1533-position model. The record is from RNAcentral.
AAUCAUGGCUCGAGAUUGAACGCUGGCGGCAGGCCUAACACAUGCAAGUCGAACGGUAACAGGAAGCAGCUUGCUGCUUUGCUGACGAGUGGCGGACGGGUGAGUAAUGUCUGGGAAACUGCCUGAUGGAGGGGGAUAACUACUGGAAACGGUAGCUAAUACCGCAUAACGUCGCAAGACCAAAGAGGGGGACCUUAGGGCCUCUUGCCAUCGGAUGUGCCCAGAUGGGAUUAGCUAGUAGGG